This is a non-coding RNA of Caenorhabditis elegans, 21 nucleotides long. The record is from Ensembl. Lineage: Eukaryota; Metazoa; Nematoda; Chromadorea; Rhabditida; Rhabditidae.
UCCUUCCUUUUGAUCCCCAUA